Molecule: long non-coding RNA, 599 nt
Organism: Oreochromis aureus
Lineage: Eukaryota; Metazoa; Chordata; Actinopteri; Cichliformes; Cichlidae
Source: Ensembl
CGGGAAAUUAAAGCAGCGAUCACUUGGACUAUUCCGCAGCACCCCUCUCACAGUGGUACAUCCCUCCAGGUAACCAUUGUCUUGUACAGUAGAGCGGGACAUUUGAUUUACUCUCAGCGGAAUUGACCGGAGAAGGCAUCAGUUCAUGCACUGCACUGGCUUGCACCACGAUUAGUAUAAGACCAAAUCCCCUGUACACAUAUACGGCCUCCGAGGAUGAGCAGCUCACAAAAAAACGGUUUCCCCAGGCCCCUCGAGUGAAAAUACCAGCCCUCACCACUCCGCAGUCUUCCCCCCAGCCCACUGAUAGCAACCAUCAUAAUGCCCCACCCAGCUUCCGGCACCUUUCGCCACUCCGGCACAACACACAAACCGACACAGCUUUGCGAUCUCCCCAGCAUGCAGAGUCUGAUGUCGAUGUCUUCCCUAUAGAUGAUCCCAGAGACUCUGUGAGGCCACUAUUACAAGGUGAGACGCUUUGUGUUGAUUGGUGCUGCUGGACCACACUGGAGGUGCGAGUCUGCCGUGUAAUGGCUUAUGCCAUCACAAACGAGCUGGCCUCUGUACUCAACUGGGCAGGGAAAAAAAACCCAAGGACC